Megalopta genalis is the source of this 1255-nucleotide long non-coding RNA. RefSeq lists it as uncharacterized. Lineage: Eukaryota; Metazoa; Arthropoda; Insecta; Hymenoptera; Halictidae. The record is from RefSeq and is a predicted model, not a curated record.
CUUUUUUUACCUUUCUUUAUCUUACUCUCCCUCUCUUGAUAUUUUUUUCUCUAUCUUUAACCCUUUUUCUGCCUACCUGUUUCUCUAUACUUUUCUAUCUUUGUCCCUCUCCCAUUGUCAUCGUGCAAUUCGAGCACCCUCAUCCUAACAACUUCCGCUCCCCUCCUUCUCACCGAUCCCUCUUUUCCUUUUCCCUAUUCCGGUCCCGAAUCCCCCCCGCCCUCAAUUUGUGCCUGAUAUCGUUUCGACAUCCUGUCCACUAAUAAUGAUUUCUAUAUUCGUUCCUUCUUCUCAUGACUGCGUCGAUCGGCACUUUUCCGUCUCCCCAAAAAUGAACAUAGAACACUAAAUGCGAUAUGUAAUUGAAAGGAAUUUACAAGAACGGAACAAUGAAAAAUGUUAACGCUCGACAGGUAAAUGUGGAGUUGGUUCUCUAAAAGCCAUGGGGUAUGAACAGAUGUGAAACAUUAUGAGUGACGUGGCAAUGUGUUUGAGGAUCAGGAUGUGCGAUGGUGCGAGAGUAGGUGAACGUAAAUAUUGUGGUAUUGCUUGAGAAUUUGGUGCGAUUUGUAUGAAUGCCAAUCAGAGCGAACAACGAGUAUGAUGUGAGAGCGAGAGAGUGGGGAGAAGGAGUGAGAGUACUAAGAGUGAUGACAAACCUGAACUUGCGACAGUGAAUUGAGAACCGAGAAAUCUUUGAAGGUGUUGUGAGUGUGUUCAAGAGGGGCGCGAGCCACCACCACCACCACCACCAACACCACCACGGCCGUACUACAACCGUACACGACAGAACCUCUUACUUAGGUGUUCUGUUACCUUACUUUAUCCCGGAGCCACGGUCUACGGGGUGACCGGAUUGAGACCCGACACCCGACUCGCCGACAGGUGGCCGAUCCGAGGACGCGAAUACCAUUCCGAUUUACCUGGCUCGAACAGGAGGCCCGAGCCGAUCGUUACCACUCCUGCAUGCGAUUUUACUAGGUUAGGCGAUCGCUAUACGUCAAUGUAAACACUUCGUUAUUUCAUUCAGGACUGAAACUUGGUUGUUUGAACGAAUUAAAGACAUUCGAGUGUUCGGAUAGUAGAGAUAUUUAAUUAACUGCUGCGUCGCUAAAGCGAAUCGUUAACAAUUAAUUUAUUAGUUUGUAUUUCUGAAUUUCGAGAGACAUGUCUAGUAAACGAUUUUCAUCAAUGUUAUUUAUUGUUACGUAAUAUUACAUGACAUUAUUACAAUUACAUAAAUUAUUAGAAUUAA